RNAcentral lists this long non-coding RNA (3616 nucleotides) under Canis lupus familiaris (dog). RNAcentral's name for it is "lncRNA (ENSCAFG00000050865.1)". Lineage: Eukaryota; Metazoa; Chordata; Mammalia; Carnivora; Canidae. The record is from RNAcentral.
ACCUUAGGAAGCAGUGAGCCCAACAGAGAAGAGAGAAGCAGGGUAAAGGGGAGGGAGCACCCAGGUGGGGAGCCCAUGAUUUUAAGUAGAAUGUCCUGCAAGGGCCUCUCUGGGAAGAUGGCUCCUGAGUGGAGUCCUGAGAGGCAAAGGGAAGAGCAUUUCAGGCUGAAGGACUCACAAGUGGAAAGGUCCUGGGGCUGGAGUGUGCCUGGGGCUUUCAAAGGCUUUGAAGCAGCCCCUGUGUGUGGGGCAGAUAAAUGGAUAUGAUCUCAGCAAGUAUGAGAUAAGAAAGACCCUGUGGGUCUUGGUGAGGACAUGAGGACAUGUAGACAGAAGGGAAUGACAUGCCCUGGCUCAUCCGGGAACAGUAUGGCCCUGCCUGCCCCUGUGGGGGGUCGGGGGUGGUUGCAGGCAGCUGGGAGGUCGUUGCAGAGGGCGGGACACACUGGUGCAAGGGGUAGGAGGGACGGGAUUCUGGUUAGGUCUAAACACAGAAGACCAAGACUUUUGUCUCACCCCAAAUAGUAGUUAUCGAAUGCUGACUUUAGGGGGAUCCACCAGAAUUGCUUAGCUCUCUCCGCAGUUGAUGGCGAGAACCAGCGAAGGGCUCCAGGUUCAUCCUGGCCUUCCUAGGAUCUUUCCGAGGGAUUUACCAUAAACGAGGCCGAGCGCUCACGGAGAAGAUUCCCUGCACCCUGCGAUUCUCCGUCAUCCUCUCGGUCACCGCCUCCGGAGGUUUCCCAAGGUGCUGACAAAAGCCAACCGUCUCCACAUGUGUCCUCCCUGCCGCGAGAAGGUGUUGGCGCCCCGGCGAUCCGCAGAGACCCAAGGCAAGUGCGGGCGCGGGCAGGGCCCAGAAGGACGGACCUGCCAAACCUGCUCCUCUCGUCGGCUGCUGAGCCAGAGGGAGUCUCAGGUCAGCCAAGCUCCUCCGCGACAAGGAAGGCCAAUGGCAUGGCGACGUCCCCGGGAGAGCAGUCUUCGGUGCCUGAGCUUUGAAUCGUGGAGCAAGUCACGGGGCUUGAGGAAGCAGACAGCCCGCGGCAGCCCAGGUUUGGAGGGCUAGGGCCCCCUCCCGCCCCUGCCCCGUCCUACCUGGCCACGGAGGGACACCAUACCCCAGCCCACCGUGAGGGGCGCCCGUGGAACCCAGCGUGAGCAUCUCUGGGUGAGCACUCGCUGCAGCCUGGGCUCCUCGUGGGGAUCGUGGGGGGCCGUUCCCGUGUCACGAGGACCUCUGGCCACUCUUUUCCACUUCUCUUACUUGACGAGGCUGGUUAGCUCUGGCUUUCCAGCGUUUUUAGCGCACAGACCUCUUCGGGAGGCACUUGACUCCACCUGGUCCGGCUUGUUAUUCCAAAUGAAAAGAACCAAAUCACAGGGAUGCAGGUGUCUGAGAGGAAGGCCCCCCGUCUACGCCCAAGGUCAUCACUGCUGCACUGGCAAUGAUGGGGAAAAAGUGGAAGGGACCUAAUGCUGGCCCACAGGCCGCUGUGCUUUGCUCAUAUCAUUGAAUCCAGCCAUAGGUAAACAAAGGAAGGAGUAUGUGUCAGGUGCACGCACCCACCUGCCAGACCUCAGGGACGCGGAGCUGGAGCCGCAAGCUAGCAGCAUGCCCAGUCUGACACUGUUACAGAAGGUUAGAGUCAACAGUAAAGAUACUGUUUAUGUACAGUCGCUCUUUGCACAAAAGAAUCCGGUAAAAGUGGGUGCCUAUUUGUAGACACGUACAGGUGUAGGUCGUGGCCUGGCAUGGUCCUCCGGGCACAGACGGAUGCCAGGCUGCAGCCAGCGGGACCGGGGUGACUCCUCAGUGAGGAACCUGAGGUGCCCACUGCUGCUUCUGCGUGACCGGUGCAUGGGUAUGUUGUGCGCCUGCGGGACUUUUUAAAUAGGCUCGAACUAGGGGCUCCUGGGUGGCUCAGACUGGAGAAUCUGACUCUUGAUUUCAGCUCAGGUCAUGAUCUCAGGGUUGUGAGAUUGAGCCCGGCGUCAGGCUCUGCACCGACUCUUGCUCUCUAAAAAACAACAGGGCAGCCCGGAAGGCUCAGCGGUUUAGCGCCGCCUUCAGCCCAGGGCCUGAUCCUGGAGACCCGGGAUCGAGUCCCACGUCGGGCUCCCUGCAGGGAGCCUGCUUCUUCCUCUGCUUGUGUCUCUGCCUCUCUCUCUGUGUCUCUCAUAAAUAAAUAAAUAAAAUCUUUAAAAAAAAUGAAACAAAAAAAUAAAAAACAAUGACAAAAUAUAUGCUUGAACCAGUCCAGGAUUUAUAAGCAUUUUAGGAUGAUUUAGAUGGAUUAAUGGUCUAGUGACCUUGUGCCAGGGCCAGGAGGGAGGAAAGAGACUUAGGCAGGGACACAGCUAUGGGGGUGGCUCAUUGCAGAGCCGAGGGUGCCCAGGGCAUAUUCCGCGGGUGAGAGGCUGGGUGGUGCCCUCCAAGGUCUUCCCAACAGAGGAUUAGGCACCGUCAACACCCCUUCCCCCAGGGCCCCUGUUCAGGUACUUUAAGGGUGAGCAGCUUCACGAUCUCUACCUAGACAGACUGAGAGCUUGUGACCCUAGCCAGGGAGUUUGCCCAGACCCAGGGCAGCUGAGCCCCUUCAGACACCUGCCCAUCUUUCAUCCACACCCCUGCCGGCCAAGAGCUGGUGCGCUUUACGACUUACUGAGUCCUUGGUUUUAUUUAUUUUAUUUUAUUUUUUUAAAUUUUAUUUAUUCCUGAGAGACACAAAGAGAGAGGCAGAGACACAGGCAGAGGGAGAAGCAGCCUCCCUGCGGGGAACCCGAUGCAAGACUCGAUCCCAGGACCCGGGGUCACACCCUGAGCCGAAGGCAGGCACUCAACCACUGAGCCCCCCGGGCAUCCCUGUUUUAGUUUAAAAAUGCUUUGGAAUAUUCCUUUCCAAGGGGUCAUUCCCUAGCACAUAUCCUGAGUGUCUCAGGACAAGUGUCCUGAUUUUUCACACCAAGGGAAAGCGGUGUGUUUUCUUCUUUCCCUCAGCCCUACUUCCCAGCUGAUCGCCCCCAACCCCCUCACUGGGACUGUAGGUGCCUCCUCGGGUUGCUGGGGUGCCAGAUGGGGCCUCCAAACCCUCCCAUUUAUUCCAGGACAGUGUCCCUCGACCUUCUGCCAUCCUCGUCCCUAAGGAGCCUUGGGAGACAUCUCCCUCCCUGUGCUCCCGCGAGAUACCAUCACAGGUGUACUGAACAUCUGUUUAUGCACAACUGUGCUUUGCACAUAUAAGAAUUUUCACCCAAGAACCAGUUUUCGACCCUUGGGGGCUCUAUCGCCCCCGUGGAGAAUGCAUGUUCUAGAUCAAUCUUGUAAACCAGCUUCCCGGUGAGGGCAGUUCCCUGCGCUUUAAAGGCAAAUGCACUGUCUUCCUGAAACCAAAAGAAACCAGUUCUGCUCUUCUCCAGAUAGACGAGGAAUUGAUUUGAAAUCAUCCAUAAGGAUGGAUCCUCAAUAAUCACCACCGGCCCCCUUGCCCCGAUCAUGGGGCACCAGGGCCAGGGUGAGCUCACCAUCCUCUCCAGAUGGCUCGUUUCCUCCCUGCCCCAAUGACCUGGGGAAAGGGGGUUUGAUUGGAAAGGCCUCCACGUGUUCCAGCCUCUGUGG